RNAcentral lists this ribosomal RNA (497 nucleotides) under uncultured bacterium. Its description in RNAcentral is "partial 16S ribosomal RNA". It matches the Rfam family "Bacterial small subunit ribosomal RNA", at positions 28 to 507 of the family's 1533-position model. The record is from RNAcentral.
GAUGAACGCUGGCGGCGUGCCUAAUACAUGCAAGUCGAGCGAACGGACGAGAAGCUUGCUUCUCUGAUGUUAGCGGCGGACGGGUGAGUAACCCGUGGAUAACCUACCUAUAAGACUGGGAUAACUUAGGGAAACCGGAGCUAAUACCGGCUAAUAUUUUGAACCGCAUGGUUCAAAAGUGAAAGAAGGUCUUGAUGUCACUUAUAGAUGGAUCCGCGCUGCAUUAGCUAGUUGGUAAGGUAACGGCUUACCAAGGCAACGAUGCAUAGCCGACCUGAGAGGGUGAUCAGCCACACUGGAACUGAGACACGGUCCAGACUCCUACGGGAGGCAGCAGUAGGGAAUCUUCCGCAAUGGGCGAAAGCCUGACGGAGCAACGCCGCGUGAGUGAUGAAGGUCUUCGGAUCGUAAAACACUGUUAGUAGGGAAGAACAUAUGUGUAAGUAACUGUGCACAUCUUGACGGUACCUAAACAGAAAGCCACGGCUAACUACGUG